GAUGAACGCUAGCUACAGGCUUAACACAUGCAAGUCGAGGGUUAGCAUGGUCUUAGCUUGCUAAGGCCGAUGGCGACCGGCGCACGGGUGAGUAACACGUAUCCAACCUGCCGUCUACUCUUGGACAGCCUUCUGAAAGGAAGAUUAAUACAAGAUGGCAUCAUGAGUCCGCAUGUUCACAUGAUUAAAGGUAUUCCGGUAGACGAUGGGGAUGCGUUCCAUUAGAUAGUAGGCGGGGUAACGGCCCACCUAGUCUUCGAUGGAUAGGGGUUCUGAGAGGAAGGUCCCCCACAUUGGAACUGAGACACGGUCCAAACUCCUACGGGAGGCAGCAGUGAGGAAUAUUGGUCAAUGGGCGAGAGCCUGAACCAGCCAAGUAGCGUGAAGGAUGACUGCCCUAUGGGUUGUAAACUUCUUUUAUAAAGGAAUAAAGUCGGGUAUGGAUACCCGUUUGCAUGUACUUUAUGAAUAAGGAUCGGCUAACUCCGUGCCAGCAGCCGCGGUAAUACGGAGGAUCCGAGCGUUAUCCGGAUUUAUUGGGUUUAAAGGGAGCGUAGAUGGAUGUUUAAGUCAGUUGUGAAAGUUUGCGGCUCAACCGUAAAAUUGCAGUUGAUACUGGAUAUCUUGAGUGCAGUUGAGGCAGGCGGAAUUCGUGGUGUAGCGGUGAAAUGCUUAGAUAUCACGAAGAACUCCGAUUGCGAAGGCAGCCUGCUAAGCUGCAACUGACAUUGAGGCUCGAAAGUGUGGGUAUCAAACAGGAUUAGAUACCCUGGUAGUCCACACGGUAAACGAUGAAUACUCGCUGUUUGCGAUAUACAGCAAGCGGCCAAGCGAAAGCGUUAAGUAUUCCACCUGGGGAGUACGCCGGCAACGGUGAAACUCAAAGGAAUUGACGGGGGCCCGCACAAGCGGAGGAACAUGUGGUUUAAUUCGAUGAUACGCGAGGAACCUUACCCGGGCUUAAAUUGCAGAUGAAUUACGGUGAAAGCCGUAAGCCGCAAGGCAUCUGUGAAGGUGCUGCAUGGUUGUCGUCAGCUCGUGCCGUGAGGUGUCGGCUUAAGUGCCAUAACGAGCGCAACCCUUGUUGUCAGUUACUAACAGGUUCCGCUGAGGACUCUGACAAGACUGCCAUCGUAAGAUGUGAGGAAGGUGGGGAUGACGUCAAAUCAGCACGGCCCUUACGUCCCGGGCUACACACGUGUUACAAUGGGGGGUACAGAGGGCCGCUACCACGCGAGUGGAUGCCAAUCCCCAAAACCUCUCUCAGUUCGGACUGGAGUCUGCAACCCGACUCCACGAAGCUGGAUUCGCUAGUAAUCGCGCAUCAGCCACGGCGCGGUGAAUACGUUCCCGGGCCUUGUACACACCGCCCGUCAAGCCAUGGGAGCCGGGGGUACCUGAAGUGCGUAACCGCGAGGAG
Molecule: ribosomal RNA, 1420 nt
Filed under: uncultured organism
Description: 16S ribosomal RNA
Rfam family: Bacterial small subunit ribosomal RNA
Source: RNAcentral